CUGUCCUCCCACCCCCUCCCCAUGUACCCUCCACCUGCACCCCCCGCACCCUCCGUCAUGUGCUGCCACUACAGGGGACAUAGCUUCUGACAACAGCUGCAGCAUCACCAUAAUGGUAAGUUUUUUGCAAAUACUUUGAAACUUUGGAAUGAGUGGUUAUGUGACUUCCUCCAAUUUUGCAAUCCUUCUGAACUUCAUCACCUUCCAUUUCAGAACCAUGACAAAAAAAAGUCUAAGGGCAGGACACCACCUGCCAGACCCAACACCCAGGAUAUGCAGUGUCCCUGGUGAUAUUUAGAAAAUUUUUGAGGGCAGAACUCACCAGGGGUGGCAACCAGCCCACUAAUGAAUGAAGAUAGUGAAGAGGAGAGUGAAAUAUCUUCAGAUUUGGAGGUUAUUUUU
Long non-coding RNA from Gavialis gangeticus (Gharial), 402 nucleotides. RefSeq lists it as uncharacterized. Lineage: Eukaryota; Metazoa; Chordata; Crocodylia; Gavialidae. The transcript has 2 exons. The record is from RefSeq and is a predicted model, not a curated record.